Molecule: ribosomal RNA, 253 nt
Filed under: uncultured Allobaculum sp.
Lineage: Bacteria; Bacillati; Bacillota; Erysipelotrichia; Erysipelotrichales; Erysipelotrichaceae
Description: partial 16S ribosomal RNA
Rfam family: Bacterial small subunit ribosomal RNA
Source: RNAcentral
UACGUAGGUGGCGAGCGUUAUCCGGAAUGAUUGGGCGUAAAGGGUGCGCAGGCGGUCCUGCAAGUCUGGAGUGAAACGUAUGAGCUCAACUCAUGCAUGGCUCUGGAAACUGGAGGACUGGAGAGCAGGAGAGGGCGGUGGAACUCCAUGUGUAGCGGUAAAAUGCGUAGAUAUAUGGAAGAACACCGGCGGCGAAGGCGGCCUUCUGGGCCACGACUGACGCUGAGGCGCGAAAGCUAGGGGAGCGAACAGG